AUGGAUCCACCUGGGGUCGCCCUCUCUGGAACCAGUGUUGCCGACGGCUCAUCCGGGGUGCUGGAUCUUGGUGAUGUGCUGGAACAACUCAACUUGGAAGACGAAGAAUUUGAUGAUCUGGUAAUAGAUGAAGCCGAUCCAAAGAUCACUGAAAGUGUGAGGUGGCUUGCGCUGGCUAGGGCUUGCACGGGCAAGAACUUCAGCCAGCCGGCCUUCUACAAGGAUAUGCGUGCAGCAUGGAAUCCGGCGCAGCCGGUGAGGUUUCGCCCGGUAGGUCCGAAGCUCUUUGUCGUGCAGGUGUCAUGUUUGGGAGACUGGGAACGGAUGAUGGAUCAAGGGCCAUGGCUCUUCAGGAGUCUACUUGUGCUGAUGGUUCCAUAUGAUGGCUUUACAAAAGGAGAAGAGGUGCCGAUGGUGUUCAUGCCGAUCUGGCUCCAAAUUCAUAAGAUCCCGGAGGCGUUCUGUAAGAAAACCAUUGUGGAAAAUCUGCUUCGGAAUUCAGGAGAGAUAAUAGAGAUGAGGCUCAACGGUAAUGCUCGUGGUGAUUAUAUUAGGGUUAGGGUUCAGCAUGACGUCCGCCGACCUCUCACCAAGUUUGUCAGUGUCAUGAGGGGGAAAGAACGCCAGAUUUAUUUGGUGAGAUAUGAAAAAUUGGCACGCUUUUGCAGUGUAUGUGGGCUGAUUGGACACGACUGCAAGGAGUGUGGAUCCAGUGUGCAUGAGGAGAAGGAUAAGAAGUAUGGCCCUUGGCUCUAUGCGGACGGCCUGAAUAACCUCCUUUCCAAUGAUAGCUUUAGUCGAGGUGGGAACCAGAAGCAGCCCGCUCCUCAACCCUUGCAGAACUCCUCGCCAAGGGAGAAGGUGGUUGAUCCGGAGUCCCUGGAUGCGGCAACAUGCCCGUCUAAGGAGGAACACACGAACAUGCAAGUGGAUCCUGCUACUAGGAAAAGACUAGCAUUGGAGGAUGAUCAACCAGCUUCUAUUAGCGUGCCAAGCAACAGUUCUCGGGGUGUCUUGGCACUUACUCAAGGGAAGGGGGAGGAUGAGACGGAGAACUCCUCUUCUUCCAGCAGCAACAACAACAAGAGAGCCCGUGUCGACUCGAGUAAUGUGUCUAAUGAUAGAUCGGCACACUACAGGAAACAGUUAAUUUGCCGUCUGUGGAUCACAGACGGCAAAGACGUAAAUCCAGACGGCAAAGAAUUUGCCGUCAGUAAGUAG
RNAcentral lists this ribosomal RNA (1221 nucleotides) under Triticum aestivum (bread wheat). RNAcentral's name for it is "partial small subunit ribosomal RNA". Lineage: Eukaryota; Viridiplantae; Streptophyta; Magnoliopsida; Poales; Poaceae. The record is from RNAcentral.